RNAcentral lists this antisense RNA (69 nucleotides) under Actinobacteria bacterium OK074. RNAcentral describes it as "ASpks TB sRNA". It matches the Rfam family "ASpks TB sRNA". The record is from Rfam by way of RNAcentral. Lineage: Bacteria; Bacillati; Actinomycetota; Actinomycetes.
CUUCACCGAACCCAGCAACAACGGCCGUUCACGCCCCUGCCCGUAGGCCGCGAGCAAUGCUUGCGCCUC